This 278-nucleotide long non-coding RNA is filed under the name Elaeis guineensis (African oil palm). RNAcentral describes it as "long non-coding RNA (EGUI_LNC051831)". The record is from RNAcentral. Lineage: Eukaryota; Viridiplantae; Streptophyta; Magnoliopsida; Arecales; Arecaceae.
ACCCUCCUACUGUUGGUGCCAACACUGGAUAAACACAGUGAGAUUGGUGCCCAACAGUUUGAGUCGAUCAAGGCAUAGAGUCCUUAUCUCAUGGGACUCUAUCCUUAUCCACUUGGGGCGCACGCCAUAUCUGAUUAUGGUGCCCACUUUGAGGGUAAAAUUAGUAGGUGGACACUCCAUAAAAAUUCUUCAAUGACGUCUUGCCAAGUGACCUUCAGUCCAAGGUCCAUGGGUCAACGUUUGACCAAUGUCCUAAAAUGAAAAUGGCAGGUGACAGA